AUGGGCUGCAUUUGGAGACGGGCCUCGGUGGCCGGGCAUUUUCCUGGCAUCGUGGGACUGACUGCCUUUUGUACUGCAUGGCCGGGGCCCGGCCGGGAGGAGCAGAGGCCAGCUGCUUCAUCUGUGAAAUGAACUGGACGUGCCUCUCUCACCAGCUUCGAGGGAUGCUACUGACAAGACCUUCCAAGGACUCUUAGAACAAGGUCUCGGGUGAAUGUGUCAGCUGUUUCUUGCCAGGACCCUGACGGGCAUAAGCGGAUACACUCUUCGUCACCCAAUCUGGGAAAAAUGUAUUCUAAGGAAGAAGGCUUCCAAGUACCCGAUAGAGAACACAGGCUUGGGGAUCAGACAGGCUGCAGCUCAAAUCCCUAUUAGCCGCUUACUAGCUCAGUGAACCUGGACAGGUUCUGUCCUGACUCCGAGCCUGCUUCCUCAUCUGCGCGGCGAGAUAGAGAUGCGCGCAGGCGGCAUCUUCCCGGAGGCCGUCGUGGGGCUGAGGACCACCAUCCCCGCAGCCCCGCACCUGCCCGCCGAUCACGGCCGCUCAGGGCAGCCCUUUCUCUCCUUCUGCCUCUUCUUUCGACUCCUUUUUUCCUUUCUUAGAGGCAAGACAUUUUUGUUUUAUUUUAAUUUUUUUUCACCUUUGUACUUCUGUUAGGCUGUACCUAAUGAAAAUCGUUCCCACUGGGGUGCGCCCAGUGGCUCAGACACGUUCUGUUCCUUCUAACCUCCCAAUGGUCACAAAUGGCUAUUAAGCGGAAGGACAUCAGCGCCUCUGAUCAGAGUGGAAGGCAAAAAUUGAAUAUUGCUAAAAUUAUUCUUGAAAAUCCUUUAAAAAUAUCUACCCAUAAAUGUUGGUGUAUUUGGUUUGGGAUGUGUUCUCUGCACCAUGGGCAUAUUAAUAUUCUAGAAUGUAUACGGCAAGGUACAGUAUAUUAAAGACUAUAAAUGCAAAAUAUCAUUUCGCAGUAUUUCAAUUACAGAAGGAGACAGAGACCAUGUGCAGUUGAUUUUGCUGGAGUCAAAAUCACCUGAGAUACAUUAGUACUGAUUUUACCAAUAAAGACAUUGAGGCUCAGAGAGGGCAAGCAGUUUGUCUAAGGGCACACAGCCAAUAAGUGGCAGAGUCAAAAUUCAAAUCCAGAUGUAUCUGACUCCAACUUCUGUUUUUACCUCGUGCCCUGAUGUCUGGAUUUAUGUGAGUUUGAAUAAACAAACCCUCAAAGCCGGUAUCAUCAAAAUGACUUUCGGGAAACAGCUUCAGAUACUGGGCCUGUUGCUUGUUUUCUUCCCAGUUGCUAGGUUUCACGGGGCCUUAGAUCAACCGAGUGGGGAGACCCAGGACCCUGGGCCCAGCCUGGGAGGGUACACAGCACCCACUCUUCCCUGCCGACCUGGA
This is a non-coding RNA of Vicugna pacos (alpaca), 1399 nucleotides long. NCBI's taxonomy places the organism in Eukaryota, Metazoa, Chordata, Mammalia, Artiodactyla, Camelidae. The record is from RefSeq and is a predicted model, not a curated record.